UGGGUUCUACAAGAAGGUAGGCUGAGC
RNAcentral lists this non-coding RNA (27 nucleotides) under Mus musculus (house mouse). The record is from RNAcentral. Lineage: Eukaryota; Metazoa; Chordata; Mammalia; Rodentia; Muridae.